AGCUGCAUAGCUCAGGGGAAGAGUGAGUUCGCUUUACGUCCACCAAAAAAAAUCCAAUAAAUACUAACCAAAUACAGGCGCCGGGCUCAUAAAUUAGCAACCCGGAGGUCCAAGGAUCGAAACCUUGUGCAGCUA
Molecule: non-coding RNA, 135 nt
Organism: Gnomoniopsis sp. IMI 355080
Lineage: Eukaryota; Fungi; Ascomycota; Sordariomycetes; Diaporthales; Gnomoniaceae
Source: the annotation of a GenBank genome assembly